GGGAGCUUGCUCCCUGAUGUUAGCGGCGGACGGGUGAGUAACACGUGGGUAACCUGCCUGUAAGACUGGGAUAACUCCGGGAAACCGGGGCUAAUACCGGAUGGUUGUUUGAACCGCAUGGUUCAAACAUAAAAGGUGGCUUCGGCUACCACUUACAGAUGGACCCGCGGCGCAUUAGCUAGUUGGUGAGGUAACGGCUCACCAAGGCGACGAUGCGUAGCCGACCUGAGAGGGUGAUCGGCCACACUGGGACUGAGACACGGCCCAGACUCCUACGGGAGGCAGCAGUAGGGAAUCUUCCGCAAUGGACGAAAGUCUGACGGAGCAACGCCGCGUGAGUGAUGAAGGUUUUCGGAUCGUAAAGCUCUGUUGUUAGGGAAGAACAAGUACCGUUCGAAUAGGGCGGUACCUUGACGGUACCUAACCAGAAAGCCACGGCUAACUACGUGCCAGCAGCCGCGGUAAUACGUAGGUGGCAAGCGUUGUCCGGAAUUAUUGGGCGUAAAGGGCUCGCAGGCGGUUUCUUAAGUCUGAUGUGAAAGCCCCCGGCUCAACCGGGGAGGGUCAUUGGAAACUGGGGAACUUGAGUGCAGAAGAGGAGAGUGGAAUUCCACGUGUAGCGGUGAAAUGCGUAGAGAUGUGGAGGAACACCAGUGGCGAAGGCGACUCUCUGGUCUGUAACUGACGCUGAGGAGCGAAAGCGUGGGGAGCGAACAGGAUUAGAUACCCUGGUAGUCCACGCCGUAAACGAUGAGUGCUAAGUGUUAGGGGGUUUCCGCCCCUUAGUGCUGCAGCUAACGCAUUAAGCACUCCGCCUGGGGAGUACGGUCGCAAGACUGAAACUCAAAGGAAUUGACGGGGGCCCGCACAAGCGGUGGAGCAUGUGGUUUAAUUCGAAGCAACGCGAAGAACCUUACCAGGUCUUGACAUCCUUUGACAAUCCUAGAGAUAGGACGUCCCCUUCGGGGGCAGAGUGACAGGUGGUGCAUGGUUGUCGUCAGCUCGUGUCGUGAGAUGUUGGGUUAAGUCCCGCAACGAGCGCAACCCUUGAUCUUAGUUGCCAGCAUUCAGUUGGGCACUCUAAGGUGACUGCCGGUGACAAACCGGAGGAAGGUGGGGAUGACGUCAAAUCAUCAUGCCCCUUAUGACCUGGGCUACACACGUGCUACAAUGGACAGAACAAAGGGCAGCGAAACCGCGAGGUUAAGCCAAUCCCACAAAUCUGUUCUCAGUUCGGAUCGCAGUCUGCAACUCGACUGCGUGAAGCUGGAAUC
Molecule: ribosomal RNA, 1274 nt
Filed under: Bacillus sp. NRCD736
Lineage: Bacteria; Bacillati; Bacillota; Bacilli; Caryophanales; Bacillaceae
Description: bacterial SSU rRNA
Rfam family: Bacterial small subunit ribosomal RNA
Source: RNAcentral